RNAcentral lists this long non-coding RNA (624 nucleotides) under Homo sapiens (human). RNAcentral describes it as "HSALNT0339105". The record is from RNAcentral. Lineage: Eukaryota; Metazoa; Chordata; Mammalia; Primates; Hominidae.
UGAGGAUGUGGUAGAUCCUGGGAGGCCACUCUGAUCCUGCCAACCUUGAGGCCAGAUGAGUCUUUGAAAAACAUGGUUUGGCUUAACACCAGCACUUAGUCUAACACCCACCAUGAAUCUUGCUGAAGUGAAGCUAUACAAAUACCUUUUCAAAAGAUUUUUUUUCAUUCCAGAUCCUUCUUAGAAAUUCCUAAGGCUCAAUGUUGUGUGGAAGAUUCUGAGAAAGAAAAUAGUUUCCGAUCUUUGGGAUUCCCCUGAGAUGGUCCAAUCUGCAAAAAGUUCAUUGCCAUUUCCAUCAAGGACACUGAGAACAAGAGUCUUAUCCGCAUUGAAUCCUGGGAAUUGAGAAGCUUCAGCAGGGCUUCCGCUGGAACUAGGAUGAGGAUGUGGACACCCCCAACCUGGACCAUCUGGCCGAGGAGGGCGUCAAGGCCAAGUACCUCAUGCCACCCCUUGUCACAAUGACCUCCCCGUCCCACUUCACUGCCAUCACAGAAUCCCAGUGGCCACUAAAACAGAGGGAUUCCAACCUAAAAAGGAGGAAAAGGAGGCUGCUGAAAAGCAAAGGACUCUGUGUAAGAAUCAUAAUAGCGGAGGUGGAGCCAAGAUGGCAGAAUAGGAACA